Non-coding RNA from Pangasius djambal, 73 nucleotides. The record is from the annotation of a GenBank genome assembly. Lineage: Eukaryota; Metazoa; Chordata; Actinopteri; Siluriformes; Pangasiidae.
GCAGUCAUGGCCUAAUGGUUAGUGAGUCGGACUUGUAACCUGAAGGUCGUAAGUUCGAGUCUCAGGGCUGGCA